Lepidothrix coronata (blue-crowned manakin) is the source of this 660-nucleotide long non-coding RNA. RefSeq lists it as uncharacterized. NCBI's taxonomy places the organism in Eukaryota, Metazoa, Chordata, Aves, Passeriformes, Pipridae. The record is from RefSeq and is a predicted model, not a curated record. The transcript has 3 exons.
CCUCCCUCCCGCAUUCCUCCUUCGGUUUUCGGCUGCCCCUGUCCAAACCCACGAGGGCACUUCUGAGCCCCUUGGCCUGUCUCCGUGUUUCUGCCGUCUCAGCUCGGCUGUUGUAGUAUCCUAAUUUCACAGGGGCAAAACACAGCUCUGAUUAGCCCCUCAUCGGAAACUCACCUGGACCAACCACUUCCAGCCUCUCCAGGGGAUGGCUCAAACCACAACACACUUCAGUUACUGGAGCCAAAAUUAACCAAAAGAUCUUUCACAUAAGAGCCAAUUUCUAUGGCAACUAGAGAGGACAAGGGAGACAUCAGAAUGACACAGCAAGAUAAAGAAGAUUGAAAAAGUAACAUGACUGGGAUCAUAUGUGAUUAAAACAUCUUGUCAUUAAUUGUGGAAAAUGAUAGAAAUGUUUUCCAUGGUGGAAACAAUAUGAAAACGUGAUUGUGUUUCAAAACACUGUAUGUCCAGAUACAGAUUGUAAAAAGAUUUUAUCACUUUGUUUUGCUGCCCUUUUCAUUUUUCGCCUCAGAAAGAGAAAAUUGCAGGAAGAAAUGCUUCCUGAAUAGAAAUAAGUAACAUAGUACCAAAUUCCAAUAUAGAACACUCCUGUGUGAUGCAAUUGUAAAUUGAAAGACUAACAAAAUAAGUAGUAGCAAA